GUGGGGAAUAUUGGACAAUGGGCGAAAGCCUGAUCCAGCCAUGCCGCGUGUGUGAAGAAGGUCUUCGGAUUGUAAAGCACUUUAAGUUGGGAGGAAGGGCAGUAAGUUAAUACCUUGCUGUUUUGACGUUACCGACAGCAUAAGCACCGGCUAACUUCGUGCCAGCAGCCGCGGUAAUACGAAGGGUGCAAGCGUUAAUCGGAAUUACUGGGCGUAAAGCGCGCGUAGGUGGUUUUGUAAGUUGGAGGUGAAAUCCCCGGGCUCAACCUGGGAACUGCCUCCAAAACUGCAUGACUAGAGUACGGUAGAGGGUAGUGGAAUUUCCUGUGUAGCGGUGAAAUGCGUAGAUAUAGGAAGGAACACCAGUGGCGAAGGCGACUACCUGGACUGAUACUGACACUGAGGUGCGAAAGCGUGGGGAGCAAACAGGAUUAGAAACCCGAGUAGUCC
Molecule: ribosomal RNA, 450 nt
Filed under: uncultured bacterium
Lineage: Bacteria
Description: partial 16S ribosomal RNA
Rfam family: Bacterial small subunit ribosomal RNA
Source: RNAcentral